AUCCAUUAAAGAAUAAAAUCCAUCAAAUCCAUCUAUUAUCAUAUUUUUAGUGGAUGGAUAUCCAUCAAUUCAUUUUUUUUUCUUUGAAAAAAUCACUUAUUUUUUUGAAACUUUUUUUUUUCAAAAUUCUUUUUUUCUUAAUAAAAUAUUAUCAAUUUUUUUUUGAGAAAAAUUAUUUAUUUUCAAAAAAAAUAUAUUUUUG
RNAcentral lists this long non-coding RNA (202 nucleotides) under Lathyrus oleraceus (garden pea). RNAcentral describes it as "Pisum sativum (pea) long non-coding RNA (PSAT_LNC007758)". Lineage: Eukaryota; Viridiplantae; Streptophyta; Magnoliopsida; Fabales; Fabaceae. The record is from RNAcentral.